This 1300-nucleotide ribosomal RNA is filed under the name Nobia grandis. Its description in RNAcentral is "16S ribosomal RNA". The stretch from base 603 to 1300 matches the Rfam family "Archaeal large subunit ribosomal RNA", at positions 1423 to 2852 of the family's 2987-position model. The record is from RNAcentral. Lineage: Eukaryota; Metazoa; Arthropoda; Thecostraca; Balanomorpha; Pyrgomatidae.
UUAAAAUAAAUAGUUCUUUAAUUUUUUUUUUAGAAGUAUAAUUAAAAAAGUAUUUUUUAUGAAAUUUUUUGAAAACUAUAGAAGAUUAGUACUGUGAAGGAAAGUUGAAAUAAUUGAAAAAUAAUUAUAAAAAAAGUACUAUUAAGUUUUGGUACCUUUUGUAUUAGUGAUUAUCUAAAUAAUUUUGUAAAAAUUUUUCUCGAAAAUAAAAGAUCUAAAUAAACUUUACAGUUUUUGUUUCAAAAAAAUUUUUUAAGUUUAUUUAGUUGUGAAAUUCUUAUCGCUUUUAUUUAUAUCUAGUAACUUUAGAAAAAAAUUUAGUUUAAAAUGAUUAGGAUAAUUUUAUUUAAAAUUUAUUUUUAAUUUAUUUUUAAAUUUUUGGGGAUGAGCUCAAAAAUUUAUAUAAAAGAAAAAAGAACCCUAAUUUUUAUAUAGGCUUAGAAUUAGCCAUAAAAUAUUGUUAUAAAAUAUAACUUUAGAAAUAAGAUUUAUUUUUCUUUUUAUAUUAUAAAGUUAAUAAUAGAAUUUUUUUUAUUUUGUAAAUAUGGUAAUAUUAGUAGAUAAAAUUUUAAAGAUUUUUUUUUAAAAAUCUUCUUAAAUUUUUUUUAUAAUAAAUAUAACAAAAGAACUCGGCAAAUAUAAUUUCCGAAUGUUUAACAAAAACAUUUCUUCUUAGCUUAAGAAGUAAGGCCUGCUCACUGAAGAUUUAAAGAGCCGCAGUAUUCUAACUGUGCUAAGGUAGCAUAAUCAUUAGUCUUUUAAUUGGAGACUGGUAUGAAUGGCUAAACGAGAAAUUAACUUUUUUUGUUAUAAAAAUCAAAUUUAAUUUUUUAGUGAAAAAGCUAAAAUUUUUCAGAAAGACGAGAAGACCCUAUAGAGUUUUAUAUUAAUUUUAUAUUAAUUUUUAAUAGAUUUUUAAAAAAUAAGUAUAAAAAAAUAUUUUGUUGGGGCGACAUUUAGAUAAAAAAAACUCUUUUUUUUAAAAAUUUUUAUAAAAAUAUUUUUUGAUCCUUUAAAAAAGAUCAAAAGAAAAAAUUACCUUAGGGAUAACAGCGUAAUCUUUUUUUAGAGUUCUAAUCGACAAAAAGGUUUGCGACCUCGAUGUUGGACUAAAAUUUAGGCAGGGUGCAGCAGUUCUGCUUUUAGGUCUGUUCGACCUAUAAUAUUUUACACGAUCUGAGUUCAGACCGGCGUAAGCCAGGUUGGUUUCUAUCUUCUGAUAAAAUUAUUUCAGCUUAGUACGAAAGGAUUGGUUGAUUAUAAAUUUUAUAAUAUAAAGAAUAUCAUUAAAGUAUCUUAA